This 253-nucleotide ribosomal RNA is filed under the name uncultured bacterium. RNAcentral's name for it is "partial 16S ribosomal RNA". It matches the Rfam family "Bacterial small subunit ribosomal RNA", at positions 524 to 776 of the family's 1533-position model. The record is from RNAcentral.
UACAGAGGGUGCAAGCGUUGUUCGGAAUUAUUGGGCGUAAAGGGCGCGUAGGCGGUGCGGUAAGUCACCUGUGAAACCUCUGGGCUUAACUCAGAGCCUGCAGGCGAAACUGCCGUGCUUGAGUGUGGGAGAGGUGCGUGGAAUUCCCGGUGUAGCGGUGAAAUGCGCAGAUAUCGGGAAGAACACCGGUGGCGAAGGCGGCUCUCUGGGCCUGUCCUGACGCUCAGGCGCGAAAGCUAGGGGAGCGAACAGG